Molecule: ribosomal RNA, 433 nt
Filed under: uncultured bacterium
Lineage: Bacteria
Description: partial 16S ribosomal RNA
Rfam family: Bacterial small subunit ribosomal RNA
Source: RNAcentral
AGCGAACGCUGGCGGCAGGCUUAACACAUGCAAGUCGAGCGGGCACUUCGGUGUCAGCGGCAGACGGGUGAGUAACACGUGGGAACGUACCCUUUGGUUCGGAAUAACGCUGGGAAACUAGCGCUAAUACCGGAUACGCCCUUUUGGGGAAAGGCUUGCUGCCGAAGGAUCGGCCCGCGUCUGAUUAGCUAGUUGGUGGGGUAAUGGCCUACCAAGGCGACGAUCAGUAGCUGGUCUGAGAGGAUGAUCAGCCACACUGGGACUGAGACACGGCCCAGACUCCUACGGGAGGCAGCAGUGGGGAAUAUUGGACAAUGGGCGCAAGCCUGAUGCAGCCAUGCCGCGUGAGUGAUGAAGGCCUUAGGGUUGUAAAGCUCUUUUGUCCGGGACGAUAAUGACGGUACCGGAAGAAUAAGCCCCGGCUAACUUCGUG